RNAcentral lists this transfer RNA (74 nucleotides) under Nitrospirota bacterium. RNAcentral's name for it is "Nitrospirae bacterium (groundwater metagenome) tRNA-Arg". It matches the Rfam family "tRNA". From Rfam's summary of the family: Transfer RNA (tRNA) molecules are approximately 80 nucleotides in length. Their secondary structure includes four short double-helical elements and three loops (D, anti-codon, and T loops). Further hydrogen bonds mediate the characteristic L-shaped molecular structure. tRNAs have two regions of fundamental functional importance: the anti-codon, which is responsible for specific mRNA codon recognition, and the 3' end, to which the tRNAs corresponding amino acid is attached (by aminoacyl-tRNA synthetases). tRNAs cope with the degeneracy of the genetic code in two manners: having more than one tRNA (with a specific anti-codon) for a particular amino acid; and 'wobble' base-pairing, i.e. permitting non-standard base-pairing at the 3rd anti-codon position. Lineage: Bacteria; Pseudomonadati; Nitrospirota. RNAcentral also lists the same sequence under 2 other names. The record is from RNAcentral.
GCGCCCGUAGCUCAGUUGGAUAGAGCGUCUGACUACGAAUCAGAAGGCCGGGGGUUCAAAUCCCUCCGGGCGCA